AACGCUGGCGGUAGGCUUAACACAUGCAAGUCGUGCGAGAAAGUAUCUUCGGAUAUGAGUAGAGCGGCGGACGGGUGAGUAACGCGUAGGAAUCUACCUAGUAGAAGGGGAUAGCCCGAGGAAACUCGGAUUAAUACCGUAUACCUCCUUCGGGAGAAAGAAGGCCUCUCUUUGAAGCUUUCGCUACUAGAUGAGCCUGCGUAAGAUUAGCUUGUUGGUGAGGUAAAGGCUCACCAAGGCUACGAUCUUUAGCGGGUCUGAGAGGACGAUCCGCCACAUUGGGACUGAGACACGGCCCAGACUCCUACGGGAGGCAGCAGUGGGGAAUAUUGGACAAUGGGCGAAAGCCUGAUCCAGCCAUACCGCGUGUGUGAAGAAGGCCCUAGGGUUGUAAAGCACUUUAAGUUGGGAAGAAAAGUUAUUGGUUAAUACCCAAUGACCGUGACAUUACCAUCAGAAUAAGGACCGGC
This 470-nucleotide ribosomal RNA is filed under the name uncultured Pseudomonadota bacterium. RNAcentral describes it as "bacterial SSU rRNA". It matches the Rfam family "Bacterial small subunit ribosomal RNA", at positions 32 to 497 of the family's 1533-position model. The record is from RNAcentral. Lineage: Bacteria; Pseudomonadati; Pseudomonadota.